CAGCCGCCGCGGUAAUACGGAGGAUCCAAGCGUUAUCCGGAAUCAUUGGGUUUAAAGAGUCCGUAGGCGGUCUUGUAAGUCAGUGGUGAAAGCCCAUCGCUCAACGGUGGAACGGCCAUUGAUACUGCAGGACUUGAAUUAUUGGGAAGUAACUAGAAUAUGUAGUGUAGCGGUGAAAUGCUUAGAGAUUACAUGGAAUACCAAUUGCGAAGGCAGGUUACUACCAAUUGAUUGACGCUGAUGGACGAAAGCGUGGGUAGCGAACAGGAUUAGAUACCCCAGUAGUCCCUGUCUCUUAUAC
Molecule: ribosomal RNA, 301 nt
Filed under: uncultured bacterium
Lineage: Bacteria
Description: partial 16S ribosomal RNA
Rfam family: Bacterial small subunit ribosomal RNA
Source: RNAcentral